AAGUCGUAACAAGGUUUCCGUAGGUGAACCUGCGGAAGGAUCAUUACAAAUCCCAUUUGAUUCAUAUCUGUUGAAAUGUGAAAAAGUGAGAGAGAGAGAGAGAGGGGUGGUGGUGGUUAGGGUUCGUGAUUGGUUAGGGUUAGGGUUUAGGUCAGGUUUUGUUAUAAAAUACACAACCAUUCUAAUGACUUGUACGAUUCCAUCCCUAUACACACACUCGCGUUUCUCUUCUUCAUCACCUCACCUGCUUUCUCACUUUUCUUUUCAUUCUUUUUUGUUGAUCUAUUUUAAAUAUUUCGAUGACACACACUUUACACAACUUGUGACAAUGGAUCUCUAGGCUCUU
This 346-nucleotide unclassified non-coding RNA is filed under the name fungal sp. Its description in RNAcentral is "partial internal transcribed spacer region". The stretch from base 1 to 46 matches the Rfam family "Eukaryotic small subunit ribosomal RNA", at positions 1786 to 1831 of the family's 1831-position model. The record is from RNAcentral. Lineage: Eukaryota; Fungi.